UUCAUGGAGAGUUUGAUCCUGGCUCAGGACGAACGCUGGCGGCGUGCCUAAUACAUGCAAGUCGAGCGGACCGAC
This 75-nucleotide ribosomal RNA is filed under the name Bacillus licheniformis. RNAcentral's name for it is "partial 16S ribosomal RNA". It matches the Rfam family "Bacterial small subunit ribosomal RNA", at positions 1 to 75 of the family's 1533-position model. RNAcentral also lists the same sequence under 1 other name. Lineage: Bacteria; Bacillati; Bacillota; Bacilli; Caryophanales; Bacillaceae. The record is from RNAcentral.